This 464-nucleotide ribosomal RNA is filed under the name uncultured bacterium. RNAcentral's name for it is "partial 16S ribosomal RNA". It matches the Rfam family "Bacterial small subunit ribosomal RNA", at positions 28 to 506 of the family's 1533-position model. The record is from RNAcentral.
GACGAACGCUGGCGGCGUGCUUAACACAUGCAAGUCGAACGGAAAGGCCCUGCUUGCAGGGUACUCGAGUGGCGAACGGGUGAGUAACACGUGGGUGAUCUGCCCUGCACUUCGGGAUAAGCCCGGGAAACUGGGUCUAAUACCGGAUAUGACCUUCCAUGUAGUGUGGGGGGUGGAAAGAUUUAUCGGUGUGGGAUGAGCCCGCGGCCUAUCAGCUUGUUGGUGGGGUAAUGGCCUACCAAGGCGUCGACGGGUAGCCGGCCUGAGAGGGUGGACGGCCACAUUGGGACUGAGAUACGGCCCAGACUCCUACGGGAGGCAGCAGUGGGGAAUAUUGCACAAUGGGCGGAAGCCUUAUGCAGCGACGCCGCGUGGGGGAUGACGGCCUUCGGGUUGUAAACCUCUUUCGACAGGGACGAAGCUUCGGUGACGGUACCUGUAUAAGAAGCACCGGCUAACUACGU